Molecule: Y RNA, 96 nt
Filed under: Propithecus coquereli (Coquerel's sifaka)
Lineage: Eukaryota; Metazoa; Chordata; Mammalia; Primates; Indriidae
Description: Y RNA (ENSPCOG00000011973.1)
Rfam family: Y RNA
About the family: Y RNAs are components of the Ro ribonucleoprotein particle (Ro RNP), in association with Ro60 and La proteins. The Y RNAs and Ro60 and La proteins are well conserved, but the function of the Ro RNP is not known. In humans the RNA component can be one of four small RNAs -- hY1, hY3, hY4 and hY5.
Source: RNAcentral
GGCUGGUCUGAUGGUAGUGGGGUAUCAGAACUUAUUAACAUUAGUGUCACUAAAGUUGGUAUAUAACCUCUCACUGCUAAAUUUGACUGGUUAGGA